GUGCCAGCAGCCGCGGUAAGACGUAGGGGGCAAGCGUUGUCCGGAAUUACUGGGCGUAAAGGGCGUGUAGGCGGUGCGAUACGUAGCGGUUUUAAGCCUCCGGCUCACCCGGAGGAGGGCGGCUAAACGGUCGCACUGGAGGGCAGGAGAGGUGCGUGGAAUUCCUGGUGGAGCGGUGAAAUGCGUAGAGAUCAGGAAGAACACCAGUGGCGAAGGCGGCGCACUGGCCUGACCCUGACGCUGAGGCGCGACAGCGUGGGGAGCAAACGGGAUUAGAUACCCCGGUAGUCCACGCCGUAAACGAUGGAUACUAGGUGUCGUGGGGGUCCACCCUGCGGUGCCGGAGCUAACGCACUAAGUAUCCCGCCUGGGGAGUACGGCCGCAAGGUUGAAACUCAAAGGAAUUGACGGGGGCCCGCACAAGCAGUGGAGCAUGUGGUUUAAUUCGACGCAACGCGCAGAACCUUACCAGGACUGGACAGGCACGUGAGCGCCGCGAAAGCGGCGGGCCCUUCGGGGAGCGUGCUCAGGUGCUGCAUGGUUGUCGUCAGCUCGUGUCGUGAGAUGUUGGGUUAAGUCCCGCAACGAGCGCAACCCUUGUCGUGUGUUGCCAGCGGUCCGGCCGGGCACUCACACGAGACUGCCGGUGACAAACCGGAGGAAGGUGGGGAUGACGUCAAAUCCGCAUGGCCUUGAUGUCCUGGGCUACACACGUGCUACAAUGGUCCCGACAACGGGCCGCGACCGCGCGAGCGGGAGCGAAUCCUUCAAACGGGAUCUCAGUUCGGAUUGCAGGCUGC
Molecule: ribosomal RNA, 800 nt
Filed under: uncultured bacterium
Lineage: Bacteria
Description: bacterial SSU rRNA
Rfam family: Bacterial small subunit ribosomal RNA
Source: RNAcentral